UUUGGAUUUUAACUUAAACUUAAUCUUUAAAAUGACGCAGCGAAUUUAGGACAAUAAUUGGUAAAUGUAUAGUUUAGGUCCCCCAACUAAGGAGGCCUCAAAAUUGAAUUUUUUUUUUACAUCGUCUUAUUUUUACGCGUAGAUUACAAAUCCGUGAGCGGAAAGUGAAUUUUUUUAAUAUUUCUAUUUUUUUUUUAUUUUUUCAAAAAAAAAAAAGUUUUAUUUUUUUUAUUAAUAUGCAUUAACAAUUGUGAUACAUUUAAAUUAAUUGUUUUAUUUUUUUCUUUGAAAAAAUCACAUAUUGUUCAAGUUUUUUAGUGUAUUUACUGUUCUUCAUAAACGUUUCUGGAAAUUUAUAUUAAAAUGUCAAUGUUAGUGCACUUUUAUUGUCAUCGAAGUUGAGAGCAGCGAAAAGGAGUUUGACACGAUUGAAUUAUGAACACCCCGGUUUUGGACCGACCAGGAUUAUUCCGCCAGUGCGGAAAGGAGUUCAACGAUCUCCGAUAUUCGUCCAUACCAUCAGAUCGCGGCGCAAAGGAAAUUGUAAAUGUUACAUGUCUUCAGUAUAUUUUUUUCAUAAGAAAAUGUUUAACACGUUGGACUGGUUAUUACAGCUAAGUGAUCUGAAUUCUACAGAAUUUUGCCGCUACAACAACAACAACUAAGUGACUUGAAUAUGUGAUAUGUGCAAAGUGUGUUAAAUAAAUUUUGAAAAAUAUACAUAAAUUAUUUUAAAAAAAUUCACUUUCCGCUCCGUAAAAAUGAGACGAUUUAAAAAAAAAAUUCAUUUUUGAGGCCACCUUAGUUGGGGGACCGAAACUAUACAUUUACCCAAUAAUUAACUGUUUUUGGUGCUUUUAAACAAUGUGUGCUUAGCUAUGAAUUUACAAAAUCUACAAUUUCGCAUCUACUAAUCAUUCCUAUCACUUAAUCUAGUCGCAAAUUUGGUAAUAACACAUGGGGAGCAAAGUCACUGAUUAUGUCAGACAGUAGAUGAUAGAUAUAAACUCGGAUAUGUCUACACUUAUUCAUAUAUUAUCUCAAUUUAGAAACAACACCAAUAAACAAAAACUACUUUAAGAUGUUUAACAAAAUAUAAACAUUUGUCUGUAAAGAUGAGCGGUUUUAACUUUUGUGGUUAAAGUUUUUUGAGAUCUACAAAUUUUAGUGCGUCUGAAAGCUGGCAUACCGACAAAUGUUCCAUCUCUAAAAGUAUACAGGUUAGAUGGUAUACGCUGCAAAAAUUUUCUUUAGGCUAAGCUGCAUACGUACAUAUGUAUAUACCCCAGCAUAUAAAGGUUUUAUUUGUGUACAUAUUUCUCUACUAUUGUACAUGAGCAAGUAUUUAUAUUUAAAAAUACGAAUGUACACAUGAAUGUACUUAUUUAUAUGUACAUAUAUAGAAAUAUUUAGAUAGAUGUAAAUAUAAGUAUGCUAAAUUUUAAUGAGCUAUAUGGAUGGCUGCUGCAGUCAUACUGGCUUUACCUACAUACCCAUACUUACUAUACGUUUAGAUGAAUAUCUUUGCAUAGUAGCAAACAGAUAGAUGCACAUAUGGGACACACAUAUUCGCGCACAACCAUAUACAGAUGGCAAAACGAAACGUUUAUUCCACUGUACGACGUCAAACGCGAAGUGGUAUCGCCGUCCCGAGAAUCAAAACAAAACUCUGGAUUAGAUUAAUGAUGUUUUCUCCAUUUACCGCACUGAAAACUUUAUACACCAACCCCCGUAGUAAUCAACGAAGCUUCCGACCGCGAAGUGUGCCUUUAUAAUUAAAAUGGAAAUUGCAAGGAACGACCGACUAGAAAACAGAAUUGCCGUACCGAAAAAAUAUACAAAUCUUAAAAUAAUGUAAUACAUAAAAAUAAAUAUCGUAAAACAUCAAA
Molecule: long non-coding RNA, 1889 nt
Organism: Bactrocera oleae (olive fruit fly)
Lineage: Eukaryota; Metazoa; Arthropoda; Insecta; Diptera; Tephritidae
Source: RefSeq, a predicted model, not a curated record